Molecule: ribosomal RNA, 200 nt
Filed under: uncultured bacterium
Lineage: Bacteria
Description: partial 16S ribosomal RNA
Rfam family: Bacterial small subunit ribosomal RNA
Source: RNAcentral
AGAGUUUGAUCCUGGCUCAGGAUUAACGCUGGCGGCGUGCCUAACACAUGCAAGUCGAACGAGGUAGCAAUACCUAGUGGCAGACGGGUGAGUAACACGUGGUCAACCUACCGUCGAGCGGGGGAUAACUAGCCGAAAGGUUAGCUAAUACCGCAUAACACCCGGGGCGGCAUCGCCCUUGGUUGAAAGCAGCAAUGCAC